Lynx canadensis (Canada lynx) is the source of this 2749-nucleotide RNA transcript. It is a transcript of the gene named TatD DNase domain containing 1, with no coding region annotated. NCBI's taxonomy places the organism in Eukaryota, Metazoa, Chordata, Mammalia, Carnivora, Felidae. The transcript has 11 exons. The record is from RefSeq and is a predicted model, not a curated record.
ACUUCCGCUUCCGCCGGGGAGGAGCCGGGCCGCAGACAUGAGUCGCUUCAAGUUUGUGGAUAUUGGUAUCAACUUGACAGAUCCUAUGUUCAGAGGAAUUUAUAGGGGAGUUCAGAAGCAUCAAGACGACUUACAAGAUGUAAUAGAAAGAGCUGUCCAGAUUGGUGUUAAAAAGUUUAUGAUCACAGGUGGAAAUCUGCAGGACAGUAAAGAGGCACUGCAUUUGGCACAAACAAAUGGUAUCCUCCUCUCACUUUGACCCUCUCCCCCCAUAUGAAUUAAGUUCUUUUGAAGAACUCUUUCUAUAACUGCCUCAGGUACAAUACAACGGAUCAUGACUGGAAACAACAGGAAAACGGACUGAGUGUAACAGGGUGUGAUUAAGAUGAAAGGGUUCUGACACUGAUAUAUCAGAUGUUUGGUUAAAUCCUCUCUCAUCGUACUUAAGGAUUAUUUUAAGAUUUCCUUAAUGAGAAUUAAGUUCACCAGGUAUAUAAUUUAGUCUCCAGUAUUCCUGAUACAGGAUUUUUGUGUGUAUGCUGUAAUGUGUUCAGGAUGGGAGUUGCUUUUAUUUUGCUUUUUUUAAACUUAAACUGUGAAGGAUCAUUUAUUAAGUAUGUAUCAUGCAGACCACGGUGGAAGGCCCCAGGAAUGCAAGUAAUAAUGUAUCAUCCCUCAGAUGCUCACUUUAUGUUACACGUUUUGCAUUUAUUUAAAAUCUAUAAGGUUUGGAAUUGGUUCCAAAGGGAAUCCUAGUUACACAAAACAUCUCCUUUAUCUGGCAUUCAUUUUACCUCACCUUUUUUUGGUUUUGUGUUUUGUCAUACUUCACGUGCUAGACUUUGAAGAAUUAGGCAUUCUAUUUUAUUUUUAAAAAUACUGAUUUACUUACUAAAAGCUAUUUUGGGGGGUACCUGGGUGGCUCAGUAGGUUAAAUUCCAGACUCUUGGUUUCAGCUCAGGUCAUGGUCGCAUGGUUCGUAGGUUUGAGCCCCAUGUCGGGCUCCGUGCUGAUGGUUUGGAGCCUGCUUGGGAAUCUCUCUCUCCCUCUCUCUCUGCCCCUCCCCUGCUUGCGCUUGCUCUUUCUCUUUCUCUCUCUCUCUCUCUAAAUAAGUAAACAAAAUAUUUUUUCAAAAGCUGUCUUUUUGUGGCAAUCUUUCUAAACUGCGUACUUCUCUUCAGGAUCCACUGACACUUUUUCUUAAUGAUUAAGAUAAAAAUAACCAUCUUCCCAGAUGCCUUGGAGGUGUAUAAGAAUAUUGUCUUCUAUCCUUUUUAUCCCCAGAGAGAUCUAUUUUCAAAACUUCUUGAAUCUUCAUUGUCAGCCCUCUUCACUCCCCCCUUCACGAACCUGUGUUCUCACUGUUUAAAAACCUCUGCCUCCUCUUAUAUGUAAACACCUGCAGGAGAGGCUGAGGAAGGCUCCCCACCUCUCACGUGGGUUCAGGUGCAAACCACUCAGAAGCCCUUUUUGACUUCACGUUGGUGUUUCGUGCAAUUACAGUUAUCAAGACAUGGUCUGCAAAUAAGUGAGCUUAAUUCUUUAUCAGAUAAACAAAUCUCCCUUCCACCUCCUUAACUCACGCUUUUUAAGCAUGUUUAAAUUUUAAUUGUCAUAUUAACUAUGUGAAACAAGAUGGUCACAUGAAUAGUGAGUAUAAAGAUAUAGUUAGGUUAUGACACUUCAUUCUGUAAGAAAUUGUUUCAUUUUCCAUUCUGUUAGGCUGAGUAAAUGCCAGGCUUUGGAAAGAGGUGAAUUAAUUAUUUUUACCAGUCUGUUAAGGCAAUUUUCAUAUUCCUGUCCUGCUUUGCUAAGGUAUUCCAAAAAUUCUUACAUGAUUAACUUCAUGCCAUUCUGGCAGUUUGAAUAGUUUAUGGCUAUUAUUAAAAAUUAGCCAGCUGAAAGUAUUUGUCAUUUAAAUAUAAUAUGAAAAAUACUUUGGAAAUAAUCCUAAGACAUUAUUUUGUGCUAGAUAUGUUUUUCAGUACAGUUGGAUGUCAUCCUACAAGAUGUGAUGAAUUUGAAAAGAAUGACCCUGAUCUUUACCUAAUGGAGUUGUUAAAUCUCGCUGAAAACAAUAAGGGGAAAGUUGUAGCAAUAGGGGAGUGUGGACUUGAUUUUGACCGACUACAGUUCUGUCCCAGAGAUACUCAGCUCAAAUAUUUUGAAAAACAGUUUGAACUGGCAGAACAAACAAAAUUACCAAUGUUUCUUCACUGUCGGAACUCACAUGGUGAAUUUCUGGACAUAAUGAAAAGAAACAGAGAUCGGUGUGUAGGUGGAGUGGUGCAUUCAUUUGAUGGUACCAAGGAAGCAGCAGCUGCCUUGAUGGACUUGGAUCUCUAUAUAGGAUUUAAUGCUCACUGAAAACUGAGGCUAAUUUGGAAGUUUUGAAGUCAAUACCUAGUGAAAAAUUAAUGAUUGAAACUGAUGCACCUUGGUGUGGAGUGAAAAGUACACAUGCUGGGUCAAAAUAUGUAAAAACUUCGUUUCCUACCAAAAAGAAGUGGGAAAAUGGGCACUGUGUGAAAGACAGGAAUGAACCCUGCCAUAUAAUUCAAAUACUGGAGAUAAUGUCAGCAGUGAGAGAGCAGGAUCCACUGGAAUUAGCCAAUACACUAUAUAACAACACCAUUAAAAUCUUUUUUCCUGACAUGUAAUUAGUGUGUCCUUUCCAUUUUCCAUCAUGUAUGUAAAAUUUCAUGGUAAACCUUAAAGGACUGAAUAAAGAAAUGCUCUGGAAGUUGAA